CCUCCCCGGCGCGAGCCGCAGGUCACGCAGCGCUGCCCGUGCCGCCGUGCCGCCCCAAGCUAGGCCACCGAGGAGGACGAGAACGGAGGUGGCCGGAUCCGCACAGGGCAUGGCGGAUCUGCGGUGGCCGGCCCUCUGCCCCCUCGUCCCCCCUCCUCCCGCGACCUCCAAUGUUGGCGGCGGCAGCCGGAUCCGGGCGCUCCGAGCUCCGUGCGUGCGGGCGGCUCGGAGGAGCAGUGCUCACGGCGUCGCGGCCUCGACGUUGGCCUCCCUCUCUGACGACUCCCGUCACGGCACCGCACCUGCUGCCAUGCGCCCUGCUCUGCUCAGCAUGGCGAUUCUGGAUUUGAUUUUGUUUUGUUUCUCUUGUUUGUGUCCAUCUCAGUUCAUUGCUCCUCGAUUUGCGAUGAUAUUCAUGGUCUCAAUCGUCGCUGUUGGUCUGGGACUCAAGGUUGGAGGAGGACGGCGAGGUGCUGGACAGCAGCUCGGCAGCAUCUACAGGGGUCUGGAGUAUCUGCAGCUUCCGUGCCCCCCUCCUGCUCCUUCCUGCUCACUAUUGCUGGCGCCAUCGACCUCCCAUGGAUGAGGCCCUCAUUUUGUUCGAUCAAAUGGGCAUAAAGCGAACAUCUGUAGUGGAAUGUUAGCUUGAGCGACUCCACCCACAGGAACAGCUUGGGCUGCUGUUGUCGCUCUUGCUAAUGCAUUUUGGAUCAACCCAGCCUGUGCGAUCCUUUGUCUUAUGUUGGGCUGCCUAACAAGGUACUCAGCCGCUGCUACUGCUCCUGCUUUUGCUUCACUGGGAGACAAUGGAACCCUUAACAGAAGAAAUUGAUGUAAGGUGUCUGCAAUCACCAAAGCUAUUGCUGGUGGCAUUGGAUUCAGAAAUCGAGCAGCAAGUGGCAGUACAGGCUGAACUGCUGCUGUUACAGGCCGAGCUGCUGCUCUUGCUACAGCUGCACUGUGUUGCAAAUGGUGCCAUUCCUUGAGCCCAGCUGCUGCCCCAAAUAUUGCAGCUUCGAUGUGUCCUAUGGUAUCCACAGAGUAGUCCGCCUCCAAAUGAGCUUGGCCAUUUCGCCGGCAGGUGAAGAAAUCAUCUAUGUUAUCAGCAUAUUGAACUCUUGUUGUCAGGAACGCCUGUACCACGUUAACCAUGUUGAUGGUUGCAGGGCGGUUCCAUGGAGCGUACCGGAGAACACAACAAUGGAUGGGUGUUGUCCAUUGCACUUGCCAACCAAAGACUUGCACCGGGAGGUUGUAUAGCUUGCAUAAUCCUUGUAUAUUUUGCUGCAUCUGUCUUCUCGAUAACCUUGAGACGCUUAUGCAUCCGAUCAAACAAGGCCGCUUUGUUAUCUUC
Panicum virgatum (switchgrass) is the source of this 1354-nucleotide long non-coding RNA. RefSeq lists it as uncharacterized. The record is from RefSeq and is a predicted model, not a curated record. NCBI's taxonomy places the organism in Eukaryota, Viridiplantae, Streptophyta, Magnoliopsida, Poales, Poaceae. The transcript has 2 exons.